RNAcentral lists this ribosomal RNA (513 nucleotides) under uncultured Streptococcus sp. RNAcentral's name for it is "bacterial SSU rRNA". It matches the Rfam family "Bacterial small subunit ribosomal RNA", at positions 28 to 525 of the family's 1533-position model. Lineage: Bacteria; Bacillati; Bacillota; Bacilli; Lactobacillales; Streptococcaceae. The record is from RNAcentral.
GAUGAACGCUGGCGGCGUGCCUAAUACAUGCAAGUAGAACGCUGAAGGAGGAGCUUGCUUCUCUGGAUGAGUUGCGAACGGGUGAGUAACGCGUAGGUAACCUGCCUGGUAGCGGGGGAUAACUAUUGGAAACGAUAGCUAAUACCGCAUAAGAGCAGUUGUUGCAUGACAGCUGUUUAAAAGGUGCAAUUGCACCACUACCAGAUGGACCUGCGUUGUAUUAGCUAGUUGGUGAGGUAACGGCUCACCAAGGCGACGAUACAUAGCCGACCUGAGAGGGUGAUCGGCCACACUGGGACUGAGACACGGCCCAGACUCCUACGGGAGGCAGCAGUAGGGAAUCUUCGGCAAUGGGGGCAACCCUGACCGAGCAACGCCGCGUGAGUGAAGAAGGUUUUCGGAUCGUAAAGCUCUGUUGUAAGAGAAGAACGAGUGUGAGAGUGGAAAGUUCACGCUGUGACGGUAUCUUACCAGAAAGGGACGGCUAACUACGUGCCAGCAGCCGCGGUAAUA